Non-coding RNA from Gossypium raimondii (Peruvian cotton), 625 nucleotides. NCBI's taxonomy places the organism in Eukaryota, Viridiplantae, Streptophyta, Magnoliopsida, Malvales, Malvaceae. The record is from Rfam.
CGACCCUAGGUCAGACGGGAUUACCCGCUAAGUUUAAGCAUAUCAAUAAGCGGAGGAAAAGAAACUUACUAGGAUUCCCCUAGUAACGGUGAGCAAACCGGGAAAAGCCCAGCUUGAGAAUCGGUCGCCAUCAGCAUCGAAUUGUAGUCUGGAGAAGCGUCCUCAGCGGCGGACCAGGCCCAAGUCCCCUGGAAAGGGGCGCCGGAGAGGGUGAGAGCCCCGUCGGGCCCGGACCCUGUUGCACCAAGAGGCGCUGUCUACGAGUCGAGUUGUUUGGGAAUGCAGCCCUAAUCGGGCGGUAAAUUUCGUCCAAGGCUAAAUACGGGCGAGAGACUGAUAGCGAACAAGUACCGCAAGGGAAAGAUGAAAAGGACUUUGAAAAGAGAGUCAAAGAGUGCUUGAAAUUGUCGGGAGGGAAGCGGAUGGGGGCCGGCGACGCGUCGGUGUCGUAGGUGCAGCGACCGCGGCGGACAAGUUGCGGGCACCUCCCUGGAGCGUAAUUCCCACCGAGCGGCGGGUAGAAUCCUUUGCAGACGACUUAAAUAUGCGACAGGGUAUUGUAAGUGGCAGAGUGGCCUUGCUGCCACGAUCCACUGAGAUUCAGCCCUUUGUCGCUUCGAUUCGU